GGAAGUCCAAAAUCCAUCCGUUCCGUACAAUCAAACGUGGUAAUCGUAAGGGAAUCUUUUGGCUGCCGGUAGGUGGCUAAAAUGGAUUGUCCUCCAGCCACCAGGUGACGCGAGUGUCUUCGUGAGGACGAAAUAUUUGCCAUUUGUUUCCGAGACGCUGACUGAAAGUGUAUUUCAUUACGGAAUUGCGGUGUCGAUCUAAAUUUUCAGCCAUGAAAUGGCAAUCUGGCGUAUAAUAUUACUUGGCCAAAUAAUGUGACGACAUGGGUGGAAACUGCUGUCCAAUGUCGGCCAUUGUUAGCUGUACCUAUACGGCUGUCGGCUGCACGUCUCAUCUCGUACAAAAACACUUCAGAGCUAGUAAAGUUUUAUUGGUUAAUUUUCAGGUUGGAGAAGGAGAUCCCUUUGCUCAACCAUUGCAGAAAUUGUGAACACGUACGACAAAGUCUGAGCUUCUUGGCUGUUGUAUCAUCAACAUGGUUUUGUUGCAGCCAGCUGGUGAAAGAUGUAAUCGAGUCAAGUUGAGCUGCAGGUGCUGCAUGCAGUUUAUCAAGCUGGUGUUAUCCCAAGUGUCACUCCAGAAGACUUCUGGAAUUGGAGUUCAUGGUCAGUGUGAUGUUUGAGCUUUUUAUGAUAUUGCUGUUUGGUGUACAGUGGUUUUGCAGUCCUUUUCCAGUCGACAGAUGCUCUGAAAUGGAGCUUGUGCAGACUUGCAGUUCAACAACACACUAAAAAUGUGGCGUUUGCCUAUGUUGGUGUCCAUGCAUAUGCUGUGUUGAAAAGUUGGGUUAAAUAGUCAAUGUUGCCUGAUGGCUGUCGGUCUUGUUUUAUCGGCUGCAUUUUGUCGACAUGUCGUCUCUUGCUACCUGUACCGGCGUUGAGUUUAAUCGUUUGCUGCCGUUCCAUAGACUUGAUCCAUUGGUAAAACUAAGGAGAAGUUGCUGAAAUUCAAGACUCGUCAAUAAAUUAUGUAGAUGUAGACAAAUUACAAGUGCAUAUCUGGGCUCCCUU
This is a long non-coding RNA of Daphnia pulicaria, 1011 nucleotides long. RefSeq lists it as uncharacterized. NCBI's taxonomy places the organism in Eukaryota, Metazoa, Arthropoda, Branchiopoda, Diplostraca, Daphniidae. The transcript has 5 exons. The record is from RefSeq and is a predicted model, not a curated record.